CCGACCUUAGCUCAGUUGGUAGAGCGGAGGACUGUAGUGGGGUGUAAACCUUUCAGAUAUCCUUAGGUCGCUGGUUCGAAUCCGGCAGGUCGGA
Non-coding RNA from Solanum tuberosum (potato), 94 nucleotides. NCBI's taxonomy places the organism in Eukaryota, Viridiplantae, Streptophyta, Magnoliopsida, Solanales, Solanaceae. The record is from Rfam.